CCGUUUGGUAUUAGAUUAGAUUUAAAAGACUGUUGUUAUGUUCCUGUAGCUAGUCGAAAUUUAAUUUUUAUGUCUGUGCUAGCACAAAAAGAUUUUGAAAUUAGUUUCAAUAAAUAUUUUUUAUUCUAUUUAUUUAUGAAAUAAAUUGAUUGCAUGAGAUCUUUUAAUUGACAGUCUUUUGUAUUUGCAUGUUGAUGCAAAUGUGAACUUAAACGAGCAAAUAGUGAGUGCCGUAGAUCAAAAAAGAUCCAAAGAUGUGAUUAACCAGAAGUACUUAUGGCACCAUAGACUAGGCCAUA
Molecule: long non-coding RNA, 299 nt
Filed under: Elaeis guineensis (African oil palm)
Lineage: Eukaryota; Viridiplantae; Streptophyta; Magnoliopsida; Arecales; Arecaceae
Description: long non-coding RNA (EGUI_LNC064994)
Source: RNAcentral